UCAAGUCAUAUGUAUUCAGAGUGACCCCUACUAUCACUGUAUUAAUAUUCAAGGCAUUUUACUGUAUAGUUUUGGAGAAAACUAAAAGCAAAUUCCCGCAAAACAUCAAUCUCCAUUGUUGCACUUAAACUUUUUCCCAUUUUCCAAAAUUCAUAUAAAGUGUUCCUUUAUAGGUUAGCUCAUUCUUUCAAGUCAUAUGUAUUCAGAGUGACCCCUACUAUCACUGUAUUAAUAUUCAAGGCAUUUUACUGUAUAGUUUUGGAGAAAACUAAAAGCAAAUUCCCGCAAAACAUCAAUCUCCAUUGUUGCACUUAAACUUAUUCCCAUUUUCAAAAAUUCAUAUAAAGUGUUCCUUUAUAGGUUAGCUCAUUCUUUUAAUGUAUAUGUAUUCAGAGUGACCCAGACUACCACUGUAUUAAUUAUCAAGGCAUUUUACUGUAUAGUUUUGGAGAAAACUAAAAGCAAAUUCACCCAAAACAUCAAAAUCCAUUGUUGCACUUACACUUUUUCCCAUUUUCCAAAAUUCAUAAAAGGUGUUCCUUUAUAGGUUAGCUCAUUCUUUCAAGUCAUAUGUAUUCAGAGUGACCCCUACUAUCACUGUAUUAAUAUUCAAGGCAUUUUACUGUAUAGUUUUGGAGAAAACUAAAAGCAAAUUCCCGCAAAACAUCAAUCUCCAUUGUUGCACUUAAACUUAUUCCCAUUUUCAAAAAUUCAUAUAAAGUGUUCCUUUAUAGGUUAGCUCAUUCUUUUAAUGUAUAUUUAUUCAGAGUGACCCAGACUCCCACUGUAUUAAUUAUCAAGGGAUUUUACUGUAUAGUUUUGGAGAAAACUAAAAGCAAAUUCCCGCAAAACAUCAAUCUCCAUUGUUGCACUUAAACUUAUUCCCAUUUUCAAAAAUUCAUAUAAAGUGUUCCUUUAUAGGUUAGCUCAUUCUUUUAAUGUAUAUGUAUUCAGAG
Molecule: long non-coding RNA, 956 nt
Organism: Carassius gibelio (silver crucian carp)
Lineage: Eukaryota; Metazoa; Chordata; Actinopteri; Cypriniformes; Cyprinidae
Exons: 3
Source: RefSeq, a predicted model, not a curated record